CCCCUCCAGAUACAUCCCUUCUCAGAUCUAAAUAUUGUUCUGAGUGUCCAAAAAAGGAAGAAGAGUAAAACCGACAUGGACUUGAAGUCGUCUUUCGUGACAUGCAAGUUCAUUGAAAACAUAA
This 124-nucleotide small nucleolar RNA is filed under the name Echinops telfairi (small Madagascar hedgehog). RNAcentral describes it as "Small nucleolar RNA SNORA61 (ENSETEG00000025011.1)". The record is from RNAcentral. Lineage: Eukaryota; Metazoa; Chordata; Mammalia; Afrosoricida; Tenrecidae.